ACUUCCCAGUCUACAUGCUUCCUUUGAGCAUCCAGAAUAAAGGAACAUCCAGAAUAAAGGAACAGGGUCGGCUUUUCUUGUUCCUAAAAUUAGGAAGAACCUCCUGCUCCUACUGAAGUGCUUGCCACAGAGUGGACAUUCCCUGAACUCUGAGUAAAGCAAAACACCUUCAGUUGGAUUGCAUUGACGAAUGGGAGUGGGAAAGGGUCAAGGAAAUGGGGUGCCCUCUAUGCAGGGCUUUCUCUGUGCUUUCUUCUCAGUUUGGCCAGGGGCCCAAGAGAAACAUAGCUCACAUUUCAGUGCUCUGCAAGGAAUCACUUUGGCAAACGUUCACACAUGAGAAAGGUUAACCAAACCCUUUCUCCUUCUCCACUGUAAAAUGUCCUUGGAUCAGCUCUCCAGCUCUAUUUCUUUGGAAGUCGAUGUCCACAGGGUUGGGGUGGGGGGCAGGCUGUUGGCUGGGUACCAGGCAAUCCUGCUCACCAUGAAAGUGAUUCCUUGUUAGUAGAGGGAGUGUGGACCAGGUGACCCGGGAAUGGGCCAUCCCCCCACUGGAAGGAGGCUACUCUGGCAGCGCCGCUCUGUAAUGCUUUCUUAAGAUCAUGGCUAUGUCCAUCAAGAGUGCCUCCCUGGAGGGAGGGAGAGCCCAGACAACAUCUACUGGACCAGUUUCCGGAGGCUUCAAGGUCACCACACUUAUGUGCAGUCUUUGCCUCCCUCAGCUCAGCCCACUCCUCCUCUGCGGGGCUGCUGCAGUGAAGGGAGCCACAUUUCAAAGUCACCCAGGACAGAGGUGAGUUCCCUCCCGAUGUUGUCAUCAGUGACCACACCGCGGGGCACCUCCUUAGCUCUCCCGAAUCUGUCCUGUCCAUCACCACUGCUACUACUGGAGUGCAGGUGCUGAUUUCCUCUGAAUGUUAUCCCUGUCUCCAGGCUUAUACUCAUACAACCCAGCUGCCUCUUGCUGCCACCUGAUCUUCCCAAGAUACACCAACCUGCUUAGAAGCCUCUGGCCAGGAUUCCAGGAGGCACCCUCGAAUCCUGAGAAUGAGGCCCAGACACCCCAUCCCCACCCAGCCCCAGCUCCAGCCCCCCAUGCACCCCUCCUCCCGUGUGCUGACUCCCAUCCCAUUCCUUAAUUACAUGCCCCUCAGCUCCAGUGACUUCCCCCAAGAGGCAAGGAUGUUCCCAGUCAGCUUAGCAUCUCUCCGUCUAGGAAGCCUCUACAGAGCCUGCCGUGGUCUCCUUCUUGCUGACAUUGCUUCCGAAAGAAACCUUUUCCUACAGCCUCACUCUUAUGUGCUUUCAUCCCUCCACCCCACAGUCCCCUGGGGAGCAGAAUCCUGUUAUUUUUUAUCUUACACUCCUGGUGCCAGGCAUUGACCCUGACCCUCAGUACUAACGUCAUAAAUGUCUGUGAAGCUGGACUGAAUUAAAUCAAGCUCAUUGGAGCAGUUUGGGAACACUGCAUUGAGGAGGUGGUCCUUGGUCUGAGAACUCAGGGUUCCCAGGGUUUAGGGAGCUGGCACACAACACACUCCCUGCACAUGUCUGGAAUCAGUUCUGUGCUAGAGGAUGCAGGAGUCAAUGCCAUGGAACCAGACAUGGAGCUUCAUUGCCAGAAGCAGAGCUGGAGGAUGCUGCUAAGGGGCAUCACAGCCGAGCACCUCAGACUCACCCCAGAGUAGUCACUUGCCCAUCCAGCCAUGGCCUCUCCAGGACGGCUGCAGGUCUCCCUUACCGAACACAAAGAAGGUGUGGUGGAGGGACCCAGGGACUUCCUCUUCAUCUGAUUACCUGUUUCCACUGAAUUCCCAACCUGCCCAUACUUGAGCCCCAUGUCUGCCUUCUUCUCUUUACUGCCAUUGAGAUGGGGACCACCACCCUUUCCUCAAAUUCCCACGGACAUCACACGUCACUGUCCUGCAUGGUACUGAGUUUGGGGUUAGAGAUGUGGCAUUGCAGUGCAGCCCGGCCAACAAUGGGAAAUCAGUGAAACAGAUGAUAGCCCUCAGCCUAAACCUGGCCCGCCACCUGUUUUGUACAGCUAUGAGCUAAGAGGGGUGUUUACAUUUCCAAAUGGUUGAAGAAAUCAGAAGAAAAAUAACAUUUUAUCUUCACACAUGAAAACUGCAUGAAAUUCAGAGUUCAGUGCUCAUGAAGUUCCAGGGAUCAAAGCCUUGCACAUCACUUACAGUCUCAUCCAUAGUGGCCUUUGUCUAUGCAGCAAAGUUGAGAUAAGUAGCUGGGACAUCUACCAUAUAGUCUGCUGAGCACAGGUUUUCUGCUCUCUGGCCCUAAAAACUCCUGCUCCAGAACAUCCCAGGUCCUGCAUUUCCCAGCUGCUCUCCUUGCUUUCCCCAAGGCAGGCCCCAUCCGGCCACUGCAACCCCUGGCUCUCUUUCCCUCAAGUCCAGCCCCUUGUCCUCCAGCCUCCUCCACACCUCCAGGGUCCCCUGCUUGGUUCAGCAGAUUGACCUCGCCAUCCUUGCUUUCUGAGGUGGGGGCAGGGCAUCAUCUUUUCAGCCUGCGAAUAAAUCUGAGCAUAUCUAUGAAUAAAGUAAGGAAUUCUGCCAGCAGCUUGUCUCAUAGCACAUUUCUCCCCUGGACAUCAGGAAUGCAGAAAGCAGGGCCCAGGGUGAGACAUUCUCAGACCCUUGUAGCCAAGCACCUUUCUUCCUGCAAGCCACCAAAUAUUCCAUGGCCAUACCCAGCCAGUUUAUGAUUUACACUCACAAGUUAACAAAACAAAACAAAACAAAAACUCGUUUUUCUUUUUCUUUCUUUUUUUUUUUUUCUGAGACAGAGUCUCACUCUGUCGUCCAGGCUGGAGUGCAGUGUCUCAAUCUCGGCUCACUACAACCUCCACCUCAUGGCUCAAAUGAUUUUCCGGCUAAUUUUUGUAUUUUUAGUAGAGACAGGGUUUCACCAUGUUGGCCAGGUUGGUAUCGAACUCCUGACCUCAAGUGAUCUGCCCGCCUUGGCCUCCCAAAGUGCUAUAUUGCAGGCAUGAACCACCACACCCAGCCAAUAUUUUAUUUAUCUAAAAGCACUAUGGAAAAUUGAUGAUAUGUCUGUUGCAAGGAAGAUAAAUUGGGAGUGAAAUUCUGUAAAAAGCAAGCAAAGGGCUGUAGACACAUAAACAGAGAUGGCAACUCUGGGAAAGAAAAAACGCAGGCUGUAGAAAUCACCUAAAAUGCUCAGUGUCCACAAGUGAUACACAAGUUCAUUAAAAUGGCAAGAAAAAUCAAACCACAUGUGAUAAAAAGGCAGACAUGACAACCUAAGAAAGCAUCUGCUGUUUAACUCUGGAGAGCACUUUGCAUGGCCAAUUACUCUCAUCCUCCCUCAGCUCUCACCUCUGCUUCUCCACCUGCUAUUCCACACUGGCCAGGUACUGCCCAUAGUCUUCUUGGCAGGCCCCAGCCUGCCUCUCUGGAGCAGCUGGGCAUCCAGGACGAGGUCGUUGCUGUGGAAGGAGCCCUCUCACUCCCUCCCCAGCCUCUUGAUCGCAGCCACGAGCUCUGCCCGCUGCUGCCUCUGCUCCUCCACAGUGGCCCGGUUGUUGAAGCUGUAGUAUCUCCUCACACACUCCUGCACCAGGUCCUUCAGGCUAUGGUUGUCCAUGUUUGCUACAUAGUCAUCCAGGGCCUGGCCCCUAAGUCCUCUUUGUGGGUGAAGAGGAUGACCACAUGUCUCAUGGCCCCUGCCCCAAAAACCUCCUUCACCCUCCUGACGGCCACCAUGUCCUAAGCAGUGAAACGCCUCAGCUGGAUCACCAGAAGCAGCAUGUGGGGCCCCAGGGCAGAGAGCAGGUAGCAGUUCCCAAUGUUCUUGUACAGCUCUUGAGUCUGGACCUCUGACUCAAAGAUGGAGAGCGUGUCGACCACCAGGACUUUCCUCCUGUUCCAUGUUCCUGUCUCCACCUGGCACGUCCUGGUUACUGACUGGGCCCCCAGCUUGGACUCAAACACGAGCUGGCCGAGGAUGCUGUUCCUUGUGGCAAUUUUCCCUCAGCCUGUUUUGCCCACCAGGGGGAUCAGCAGCAGCAGUGAUCCUGGAGCCAACCUGCCUUGUCCUCAGCCUGUGAGAGUGGGUGAAGAGUGAGUAUGUAAAAACUGCAUUCUGAGGUGGAGGCACCAAAAGACAGAAGGCAAAGGCAUCCAGAAGCACUGGCACCCUGGGUCAGUGAGGACUCCACAGCUCCGCUCCCAUCCCUGACCCCACGUACAGAGAAUGGAGGGACUCACACAGUGUUUGUGGGAUUACCCAGCUGGCCAGAGCUCCAGGGCUCUACCUCUUUGGGACUGCUGAGCUCUGCCCCUUUCUGGCCUUCCCUCGAUGCACUUCCCACCCUGAGGGCCUGGGGUGGGGCCAGGAGGAGGCCAUUUUCUCCGCCACUGCAUGGUCCAUCUCAUGCUUUCUCCCUCUCCCAUCCCUAGUUGAUCUCUAUUUUUCACGAUCACAGAGUUUUAUUUGGAAAAUCUUGUCCUCACUGAAAAUAGGAUGGCAGUUAAGAGCUUAAUAUGCUGUAUUUCUGGGGGUAAAUGUGUUUUCUUUGUCGUUGGUGAAUACAGUCUUGUGCCUUUCACUGCCAGGUGGGAAGUUUGCCCCCCAGUUCUGCGUCUACAACCCUUGACCUUUAUAAGAGCUUUACCAAGUGCAGCUCCCUUGCCCGUGCAGAAGGCACCUGCUCCACCCAUUCGAAGCCCUUCUAUCUUAUCCUAGAGGGGAAAACAUACAUGGAUUGUUCACACUGGAGGCGGAUGUGAUAUCCAACACAAAGCAUCACAUUUUACAGAUGAGGAAAUUGAGGCAAGAAAAGAAAACCCUGCUGAGGUCACACAUUAUUUAAGGGAUGAGCUGAGACUAACACCCAGGUCUGCUGACUUCAGGUAUUCUCAGCAGUAGCCUGGGCUUCCUGCUGAAGAACAUACAGACAGCCCCAAAAUGCACCACAAGCCUGCGUUUCCCAGCACCUGUAUUUAACAUACAGGCAGCCCCAGAAUGCACCACAUGCCUGCGUUUCCCAGCACCUGUAUUUAGCUAAUGGGAGGCGGUGAAUGGAAGGCAGGGAAGGCUGAUGGAUGCUGUCCACCCAGAUCAAGAAAGUCAGCAAUCAUUUCCAACUGAACAUCUGGCUGUCAUGUGUUCUUGUCCACUUUUAGGGUCUCAGGGCUGGUACCCAAACUAAAGUGUGCCCGGCAAAGCAUCCCCCUUUGAUAAACACACAAAAGAAAUUCUCCCCUAUGUUUCCACGGUGAUGGUGGUGCAAAGGGUGACCAACCAUCCUGGUUGACCCAGGCCUGCGAGGAUUCCCUGAUUGAAGGACUUUCAGUGCUGAACUGGGAAAGUCCCAGACACACCAAGAUCAGUUGCUUACCCCAAGAGUAGGAGAUUGUCAUGGGUCCAGGUUAGGGGUGGGGAGUAGGGGCAUGAACAUCCAGUAAUUGGAGAGAAGAACUGAUUUGUUGGGCUCAGAUUAAUGCCUUAUGCUACAGAGGAUUGGUGCUUCCCUAUUCCUACCUCAGUCUUGGACCAGUCACUACCCCAGGGGCACUUCUCAUCAAGCCCCCUCACCUCCUUGCACUGUUCCCACCAUGCCUUUCCUCCUACCUCCUACCUCCUACUUCCAGUGCUCAGGUAGAAAAUCCACCCAGGCCCCACAGAAGAAUGACUUCUCAGGCUUCGCUACUAUGAAAAACCUAUACAACCCUUUCCAAAGCAACAUGAGGACCUUGCUGUGUGCAAAGUUUCAGUGUGUUGCCUUGUAACAGGCUCAAGGCAUUAAUGCUAAAGAGUGAGUCCCUAAUUGCAGAAUUGCGGAGCCUAUGCCUGGUCAAUUGAAAAAAUACUUUUUGGACUGAUGUCAUGGCGCUUUAGGGGAAGAAGUUAGUGUUCCACGGGGCCCUGGUACUGAAGAUGUGAUCCAGGUCACCCCUAACUCUUUCCCACUCACCCAACCCUCUUGCGCCCACCUUUUCCCUCUCUCCUCUAGCAGAAUGAAGCAUGCAGGCCUGGGUGAAGGAGUACCUCCUGGCAACUCUGGGAACGAUGGCUAUGCUAAUAGUGGGUAUAGUGCCUGUGAAGAAAAAAACAAGAGACUCACUGAAAGUCUGAGAAGAAAAGUAACUGUUAUAAAAUAUUUUUCCAUUGAAAUAGGCCAUGAAGUUAAAACCCAAAAUAAAUUAUUAGCUGAAAUGGAUUCACAAUUUGAUUCUACAACUGGAUUUCUAGGUAAAACUAUGGGCAAAGUGGAGAUUUUAUCCAUAGGGAGCCAAAACAAAAAAGCUGCUGGGCUCUACAAUGCUGUUUUAUUUAUUUGUCUUUUUUUGUCAUUUAUUGGAUUAGUAAACUGAGGUGAUGCAAGUAAUUGUGAAUUUGGAAUUUGUUCCAAUUUAAUGACUUGGUGUACCACCUUGAUAAAAAUCAGCACCAAACAUUCCUAGUUUUCAAACACUAUGGCAUUUUUCAUUGAAAAUUGCUGCACGUUUCUUGUUUUAUAAAUCACGUUAGAUACUACAGUGCUCUUUGAAUAUUGUCUGCUUUUUCUUUUUCUUUUUUUUAUUUUAAGUUCUGGAUUACAUGUGCAGGAUGUGCAGGUUUGUUACAUGGGCAAAUGUGUGCCAUUGUGGUUUGCUGCACCUAUCACCAUGCCACCUAAUAGCCUGGCAUGCAUUAGCUAUUUUUCCUGAUGUUCUCCCUCCUCCCACCCCACCCUCCCCGACAGACCCCAGUGUGUGUUA
This is a non-coding RNA of Macaca mulatta (Rhesus monkey), 6746 nucleotides long. NCBI's taxonomy places the organism in Eukaryota, Metazoa, Chordata, Mammalia, Primates, Cercopithecidae. The record is from RefSeq and is a predicted model, not a curated record.